This is a long non-coding RNA of Anolis carolinensis (green anole), 2500 nucleotides long. RefSeq lists it as uncharacterized. The record is from RefSeq and is a predicted model, not a curated record. The transcript has 3 exons. Lineage: Eukaryota; Metazoa; Chordata; Lepidosauria; Squamata; Anolidae.
CCGUGCCCACCUUUCCUGCCAUCAAAAGGGAGAGGAAGGGGGAUCGCAUUCAUCUUCGGGGAGAAGCUGCUGCUCGCCGGGGGGCUUUCUCUUCAUGCCGCUCUCCUUUCCUUCCUCUAAAAACACCCCCUCUCUUCUUUCUCUUGCGCACCUUGAUAUUCUGGAAUAUCAAGGCAGAAUAUCAAGGCAGAAUAACCCACAAUAUCUGCUUUGAACUGGAUUAUCUGAGUCCACACUUCUAUAUAAUCCAGUUCAAAGCAGAUAAUGUGGAUUAUCUGCCUUGAUAUUCUGGGUUAUAUGGUUGUGUGGAAGGACCCUCAGGGCUCUUCUACACAGCCAUAUAACCAGAAUAUCAAGGCAGAAAAUCUCACAAUAUCUGCUUUGAACUUGGUUAUUUGAAUCCACACUGCCCUAUAUCCCAGUUCGUUUGGUGCAAUUCACAAAUAUAGUAAUUCCUACAUAACAUUACCGUGUAUUGAACUGCUUUUUCUGUUGAUUUGUUGUAAAACAUGAUGUUUUGGUGCUUAAUUUGUAAAAUUAUAAUGUAAUUUGAUGUUUAAUAGGCUUUCCCUUAAUCCCUCCUUGUUAUCCAACAUUUUCACUUAUCCAAUGCUUUUAUUUUUCAGUGAUUGGUUUGGGGGGAGGCGUCAAAAUUCUGUUCGCUUAUAUUUGAAAAUUACCUAGGGCUGGCCCUGCUGAGAAUUAUGACAUUUGUAGUAAAAUACAUCCAGAAACUGCUAAGUGGGACACAAACAUCUUCAAGUGUCUGUCAAUAAAAUUUAGACUGAAAUGAACUCCAUGGGCCAUUGAGCCCAACCCUCUGUACAAUACAGAAACUCCAACUAAACUAUAGUCAAUUUCUGAAGAUGUCCAGGGAAGGUGACCCUACUAUCCCUCUAGAAAAUUGAUUCCAUUGUGAAAGUGCUCUUACUGUCAGGAGGUUACUUCGCUUGAAAUCCAAUUUUUCUAUAAUUUCAAACUGUUAGGCAUCCCCAGGGCCAUGCAUUGCCCCCUCCUUUUCUAGAAUAUGGACAUCACAAAAACAACCCUGAGCUUUCCGUUUGACUACCAAGCAAUUCUACGAAAAUUGUGAUCAGUGGCUGGCUACAUUUUUCAUCAUAGGCCUCUUUGCCUCCACCUCCUUCUCAAUUUCAAGCAUAGAACCAUUCUGAUCACACAGGUUACAGCCCCUAAAAAUCCUAGUGAAGAUGGGGGCUAUAACCCAAAAUAUCUAGAGACUCCCAGUUGCCUACUUCUGCUCUAAUUCAACAUUUGUCUUGCCAUUCCCUCCUGCCAAAGUUCCAGGCAGCCAUUUUUUUUUCAAGUAAGUAGAUACCAGGAGAUUAGAGUGGGCCUCAGUAGCUUUCUUUAAAGGAGGAAAAUGACCCCGGUAGCAUCAGUAAAUAGCACAAGUUUCAUGUAAACACCUCUGCUAUGUUUCCCUCAUGUCUCUAAGUGCUUUACUGAAAACAAAUGAACAGUAGAAUGAAAGUGCUGCACCGACAUUCCACAGUAUACACGGCUCUAGACAAUCACUUGUUUUUUUCCAUUUAACAGGGACAGUAGACUUGAGUUUCCCAGAAUAAUGAGCCAUUAUACUUGGAUUUUUAAAAAUAAUUUGUGCCCAUCCUUAAUUUAUCAGAGGGGUUGCUGUCUCUUGGAUGAGCCUGUCUGCCUAUUAAGUUUGAAAACAGAACCCUCUGCAUGUCCAAACAGGGUGGCCACUUAUGCAUCAUCCAAAGAAGAAUAACGAAUUACCAAAAAAAGUGUGUAGGGCGGGGGCAGGGUUGCAGGUUUAUAUACUUUCAUUUGCAAAUCUUUAUGUGUAGGUGAAAUCCUGAAAAUAGAAAUCCUAUGCAUCUGACCAUAGAAGAUUGUGACCAGCUGGUUACUGUGCUUUCUCUUUCUGCCCAGAUACCCACAGUUGAUGAGCAACUUUAUUGUCUCAGUUCUCACAUCUUAGAUUGCUUUAGCUUCAAUCAGAUAAUCCAACAAACAUACAAGCUCCACGUGGAUGAUUGUUACUUCUUCCUGACUUUUCCUUUCCUGAGAUUGUCCUGAAGUAAACAGGGUGAUCUUCAGUGCAUCUGGGAAAGAAUGUAGAGAAAAGGAACAAAGACGGGUUGAGGCAUCAUGAUACAACAUGCAGGAUUCAGCCUAGGUUCCUGUGUUGGAGAAAGGUGGGAUGGCAAUGAAAUUAAUCAAUCAAUCAAUGAUAAAGCUGGAAUUUGAGUUGGGGAAUUCUGGAAGCAGUGCACUGAAGAAAAUAACUUUCCCUGGCUCUGCUUGAAUCUUUUGAUAACAAUACAAUAAAUAAAAACAUAUUUCAGUUGUGUAGUAAAAAUAAUACGAAUAAAGAUAGAUUUCAGACAUGAAAAUAUAUAUAAAUAAAAAUACAAAUUUGAUAGUUUGGCUAUGAUGCAUAGAAGCCAGUUGUGAUCUCAGUUGUGGCUCAAUAGAUACACAGAAAUGGCCAGCAAAGUCAUCAAAGAGCAGGCUU